ACUCCUACGGGAGGCAGCAGUGGGGAAUAUUGCACAAUGGGGAAACCCUGAUGCAGCCAUGCCGCGUGUGUGAAGAAGGCCUUCGGUUGUAAAGCACUUUCAGUAGGGAGGAAGGUAGUGUAGUUAACACCUGCAUUAUUUGACGUUACCUACAGAAGAAGCACCGGCUAACUCCGUGCCAGCAGCCGCGGUAAUACGGAGGGGUGCGAGCGUUAAUCGGAAUUACUGGGCGUAAAGCGCAUGCAGGCGGCCUGUUAAGUCAGAUGUGAAAGCCCGGGGGCUUAACCUCGGAAUUGCAUUUGAAACUGGCAGGCUAGAGUCUUGUAGAGGGGGUAGAAUUUCAGGUGUAGCGGUGAAAUGCGUAGAGAUCUGAAGGAAUACCAGUGGCGAAGGCGGCCCCCUGGACAGAUACUGACACUCAGAUGCGAAAGCUGGGGAGCAAACAGGAUUAGAUACCCUGGUAGACUGUCA
Molecule: ribosomal RNA, 471 nt
Filed under: uncultured bacterium
Lineage: Bacteria
Description: bacterial SSU rRNA
Rfam family: Bacterial small subunit ribosomal RNA
Source: RNAcentral